AAUAUUACUGUAAGUCAUGGCCAACCAGAUGAGAAUGAAAUAGCUAUAAAAAAUUUUAGCGCUUGCCAAUCCCGGGUGAACAUUCUCAUCUACCAAGUAUUCGGGAACGAGCUCAAUUCUGGCUGCGAACUGAAUUACACAAGAGAUAUAUGUUUUGAUCGAUGCAACGCCCCUUUCACACGAAAAAUACCUAAUCUUUUUGACGAUCCCCGCUCCGAUUCGUAUCGCCGCAACCCUUGGCUCAGCCUAAGACUGUAAACUGAUAAUGCAUUGAGCAUGUCGUUAUCUGCUGGCGCGAUACCGCGAUGCUGGACUUGUAACGCAUAUGUUGCGCAAGAAACACGACGCGUCGUAUCGCCUGAUUUUCCGUCCCUCGACUUUAUUCAUCUCUAGACGCCCGCGGUCAGUUUUGGGUCAUUUGAUUUAUUCGGUAGUUAUUAUAUGAACUCCAUUUACAGCAUUAAUGAUAGCUCCAAGUGUAGAAGCCGUGAACGUGAUGCGAGCACGUGCCUUUCUCGUUCUGAUGCGUUAUCACGCCGUUUCUGUUGCGUCUUUUAUUGUAGCGAUGCGUGUACACGAAUUAUUUUUACAAUUAUAAAUGCGUGGCCUUAACUUAUGUCGGGGAGUCUCGAAGUGCACAAUUAAAAAAGCAAUUUACGGUUAAAAAACUCGGGAGCUAGACGCUAUAAGUAGAACGGCGCGAUGCACGAUUUACGGUUUUAAUUUUUGCUAAUUGGUACACAUUUUUUUUAUGAUCACGCUCAUAGGCUUAUCACUGGAAAAAUGUUUUUAUUUUUAUCAACUCAUACCAUACAUAGGUAUACGUGUGUAUCGAAUUGCCAUGUACACAUGGACAAGUCGACGAAAAGUAUUUUGCAUCCAUAUUCUUCGCCCAAUUAGAGUAAGCUAAAGUUCACGAUUAUGUUUAAUGCAAAACUAGAGGAGAUUGAAUGUAUAUGCUAUACACCGAUCAAAUUUAAUUUUUGCUCAUUAUAGAAUAUUUUCGAUUUUUCUUUCAUGUCAAAAUAUACGACAGCGGAAAUUGCUCGAAUACCAUUCUGCUCGUGACUGGGUCUGACAGCUCGGCAUCCGCCGAAUCUUGUCAGGCCGAGCAAUUUUGCUGUGUAUGUAAAAUAAUUACUUCGUGACUAUUGCCAAUUUUUUGGUAAGUAACGCAGGACUUCGUUUCGCAAGUAAGAAUCACUCUAUUACGUCAUUUCUCGAAGAAAAGAUACUCAUAAUUUUCAAAUAUUUUUUAAUCUUAUUAUUUAUUAGUGUAUUAAAUAUACUAUAAUUUAAUCUGAAAACCUUAUUUACUACAGGUAAUUCCUCUAGACUUGAAUAUAAUACAAUCUGAGUAUGAAAUCGGCUUACUUCGUUGGAGUCUAUCCGAUCAGGUUUCACUGCAUGCUAAGAAUUGCGAAAAAAUCAUCUUCCAACAACAAGUCAAUCAAGACUGGCUGACGUCGAAUCGCCUGAUUAUUGUUUAUGAAUUGUCUCGCGAACUGCGAUGGUUACACUCCUUGUUAUUGGCCACCAGUACGAACUGCGGCCAAGUGUCUCUGUACGUGGCACUACAGGUUGCCGAUUAAUUCUAUCUCUAUUUCUCGCUCUGAUUUUCAAUGCUAGCAAACAAUAACGGAAUGCGGCCUGCACGCUCCAAGCAUUGGGAAAUUUCCCUGCUAUAAAAAGACCAACUAGUCAAAUUACAAAUGUAGCAAUUUUUUGAAGCAAUGAUUCAGUUUACGAUAAUUCUAUCUAUGCAUGUCGUUAUACGAAUACAAUCAUUUUGGGGCGAUUAUUUAAACUGUUGACUUUGUUGAACAUUAGACGAUAAAUAUUGUUAAUUAACAAUAAAAGUAUGUCAAAGGAUAAGUUGAACGAGAAGUAAAAAUCCGUUACACCGAUAAAGAAUUUUUGAAGUCUUUCCAGUCUUAUCCUACAUGAGAAGAAAAGAAAAACCAUUACCCCGAAACCGUAUGAGGUUUGUUUGGAAAAUUUAUUAUAGUCUCCAUGCUCUAUAAACUUGUACUGUUUUUCUUUUUAUUACUGCUAUUAGCAGAACUAGUCUGAAAAUUCAUCUCGACCGAUAAGAUGACGGGUGUCGAUUGGAUUUAGUGCUAUUUAAUGUUCCUUACAAUAAACAUAACACGGCACAAUAGAGGACAUCAAUUCGUCUUGUAGAAUUUUCAAUCCAACCAAAGAAUAUUUACAUAUUGUAUAAAUUAUACUGUACAUAUGUAACGCAGAUGUAUUUCUUUCUAAAAUUGAAGCUACACGUAAGAAAAAAGAAUAAAAGAUACAACUGAUAUAUAUAUAUAUAUAUAUAUAUCAUUAUCUUAUUGCCAAAUAACUGAAACGAAUCAAUGACCCCGAGAAAUUUGUUGAGUGUACAUGCCGUGAUUAUCACAGCCUAGGCAAACGUUACACAAUAAAGAAAAAAGUAAAUCCUCAGAUGAAACACUCCAUCGCUGUUGAGUAUCUCGAAUUGAUUUAGGCGAAUUUCAAAAUUGUA
Molecule: long non-coding RNA, 2515 nt
Organism: Neodiprion virginianus
Lineage: Eukaryota; Metazoa; Arthropoda; Insecta; Hymenoptera; Diprionidae
Exons: 2
Source: RefSeq, a predicted model, not a curated record